GGCAAAGGCUCACCCAUUGAUCAGCUCCAGGAUGAUCAAAGACAGUCUGGAGUUACCUUCAAACGCCAGAGACCUGCUCCCCCUGCAGUGCUGUGCUGUCAGAUUGUCCACGGGUACAGACAGCAGCCAAACAAAACAGAGAGAGGAAAGAAAUGGGGAAAAGCCAUGAGAUUGGAAAACUGUGGUAGUAACUGACCCCUGGAUCCACAUGACAACUUCACACCAACUAAACCCACGAGACAAAUACAUGUAUAAAUAAGUACACUUAAUACUUUAUGUUAGUCCACAUACAAUUCUGUGGACGUUAUGUUAAAUCUCAGCAGCCGUGGGUCAAACUGUUGUAAUUUUAGUGUCAAAUUAUUUCCAAGACACGUGUUCCUAUAGGCUCCAACUGGAAAAAAAUGCUAGAAACUGAAGUGUCACCACGGUAAGAG
Molecule: long non-coding RNA, 434 nt
Organism: Thalassophryne amazonica
Lineage: Eukaryota; Metazoa; Chordata; Actinopteri; Batrachoidiformes; Batrachoididae
Exons: 2
Source: RefSeq, a predicted model, not a curated record